GACGAACGCUGGCGGCGUGCUUAACACAUGCAAGUCGAACGGUGAAGCGCCUUCCUUUUUGGUGGGUGUGGAUGAGUGGCGAACGGGUGAGUAACACGUGAGUAACCUACCCCCUUCUUCUGGAUAACCGCAUGAAAGUGUGGCUAAUACGGGAUAUUCUGGGUCUGUCGCAUGAUGGGUCUGGGAAAGAUAUUGUUUCGGUGGGGGAUGGGCUCGCGGCCUAUCAGCUUGUUGGUGGGGUGAUGGCCUACCAAGGCGGUGACGGGUAGCCGGCCUGAGAGGGUGGACGGUCACACUGGGACUGAGACACGGCCCAGACUCCGACGGGAGGCAGCAGUGGGGAAUAUUGCACAAUGGGCGCAAGCCUGAUGCAGCGACGCCGCGUGAGGGAUGGAGGCCUUCGGGUUGUGAACCUCUUUCGCCAGUGAAGCAGGCCUGCCUCGUUUGUGGGUGGGUUGACGGUAGCUGGAUAAGAAGCGCCGGCUAACUACGUG
This 494-nucleotide ribosomal RNA is filed under the name uncultured bacterium. RNAcentral describes it as "partial 16S ribosomal RNA". It matches the Rfam family "Bacterial small subunit ribosomal RNA", at positions 28 to 507 of the family's 1533-position model. The record is from RNAcentral.